Molecule: transfer RNA, 64 nt
Filed under: Pselaphinae sp. 5 EF-2015
Lineage: Eukaryota; Metazoa; Arthropoda; Insecta; Coleoptera; Staphylinidae
Description: tRNA-Arg
Source: RNAcentral
GAAUAAGAAACAAUUAAUUGUAUUUAGUUUCGACCUAAAAUUUUGACUAUAAAAUCCUUAUUUU